CUCACCAAGGCAACGAUGGGUAGGGGAACUGAGAGGUUUAUCCCCCACACUGGUACUGAGACACGGACCAGACUCCUACGGGAGGCAGCAGUGAGGAAUAUUGGUCAAUGGGCGAGAGCCUGAACCAGCCAAGUCGCGUGAAGGAAGACUGUCCUAAGGAUUGUAAACUUCUUUUAUACGGGAAUAACGGGCGAUACGUGUAUUGCUGUGAAUGUACCGUAAGAAUAAGCCA
RNAcentral lists this ribosomal RNA (232 nucleotides) under Porphyromonas gulae. RNAcentral's name for it is "partial 16S ribosomal RNA". It matches the Rfam family "Bacterial small subunit ribosomal RNA", at positions 264 to 493 of the family's 1533-position model. The record is from RNAcentral. Lineage: Bacteria; Pseudomonadati; Bacteroidota; Bacteroidia; Bacteroidales; Porphyromonadaceae.